Molecule: long non-coding RNA, 793 nt
Filed under: Salmo salar (Atlantic salmon)
Lineage: Eukaryota; Metazoa; Chordata; Actinopteri; Salmoniformes; Salmonidae
Description: lncRNA (ENSSSAG00000085504.1)
Source: RNAcentral
CUCUCUAUAGUUUCCUCUCCUCUAGUUUCCUCUCUUUAGUUUCCUCUCCUCUAGUUUCCUCUCCUUUAGUUUCCUCUCCUCUAGUUUCCUCUCUUUAGUUUCCACUCCUUUAGUUUCCUCUCCUUUAGAUUCCUCUCCUUUAGUUCCUCUCCUUUAGUUUCCUCUCUUUAGUUUCCUCCUUUAGUUUCCUCUCUUUAGUUUCCUCUCUUUAGUUUCCUCUCUUUAGUUUCCUCUCCUUUAGUUUCCUCUCCUUUAGUUUCCUCUCUUUAGUUUCCUCCUUUAGUUUCCUCCCUUUAGUUUCCUCUCUUUAGUUUCCUCUCCUCUAGUUUCCUCUCUUUAGUUUCCUCUCCUUUAGUUUCCUCUCCUUUAGUUUCCUCUCCUUUAUUCCCUCUCCUUUAGUUUCCUCUCCUCUAGUUACCUCUCUUUAGUUUCCUCUCCUUUAGUUUCCUCUCCUCUAGUUUCCUCUCCUUUAGUUUCCUCUCUUUAGUUUCCUCUCUUUAGUUUCCUCUCCUUUAGUUUCCUCUCCUUUAGUUUCCUCUCUUUAGUUUCCUCUCCUUUAGUUUCCUCUCUUUAGUUUCCUCUCCUUUAGUUUCCUCUCCUUCAUCUGCACUUUCUUUUCAUUUCCUUUCCUUCAUCAUCAUUAUAUAUGAACCUGAUUUCUCCACUAAUUUCCUGUCAUUUCCUUUCUGUUCCUUUCCUACCCUCCUUUCCUUGACUUCAUCUGGAAAUAAGGGACAGGUACCAUCAGAGUCCUGAUAGACAUCUGUCAUUCUGUUUCAUCUAUAUAGUAGUG